GGCGGCGUGGGCUGUGAUGGCAGGGACCUCAAAGCUUACCCAGUUCCAUUCCCUGGCAUGGAAAGGGACAUCUUCCACAGGACCAAGUUGCUCCAAGCCCUGUCCAGCCUGGCCUUCACUUCUAGGGAUGGGGCAGCCACAGCUUCUCUGGACAACCUGUGCCAGGGCCUCACCACCCUCACAACCAAGAAUUUCUGCCCAAUAUCCCCUCUAACCCUGCCCCUGUCAAUGGGAAGCCAUUCUCCUUUUCCUGUCUUUCCAGGCCCUUGCCCAAAGUCCCUUUCCAUCUCUUUUGGAGCCCUGUUAGGCACUGGAAGGGGCUCCUACUCUUCUCCUCAGAGUCUUGUCCAGGCAGAACACCCCAAGCUCUCCCGGCCUGUCUCCAGAGUAGAGGGCCUUCAGCCUUUGAAACAUCUCCACGGCUUUCCUGGACUUGCCACACCAGCUGUUUGUCCUGCUGUUUGGGUCCCCAGAACUGGCCGUGUUACUCCAAAACAUAAAACCUGCUUUCCCUCUUGUUCUGUUGCUCCAAGCUCUUGCCAAGGUUCGGUCCUUUUUGUUCCUCUUACUUUUGGUCUGUUUUCUUUUGCAGACAUGACACAAGCCUAUAAUCAAACAACUGCAGGAUGUUCUCUGUCAGCAGCCACAGCCAGAAACACAGCAGGGGUCUGGAACAAGACAAACUUUAAGGUCCCUUUCAACCCAAACAAUUUGAUGGUUCUGUGACUGUGUGGCAAUGGCAUCUUUCAAAAAACAAGCAUUAGGUACCUUCAACUGAAUGCAGAUGAGUCACGUGUUCUCUGACGUAAAUAUGUAAAAUUACAAGAAAACAGAAAUAUGAAGUGAGUUAAAUCCUGUCUCUUAGUUGAGAUCCCAUGGAUCACUGUGUUAAGGGGAAAGCAUGAUUAUAUCUUUUCAGAAGACUAUUACAUAGGGUAAAGAGAUCUAAAUUGGAGAGAGAAAUAUUUAGAAAGAGCAGGAAAAAAGGCACAGAUUGCCCAGAGAAGCUGUGGCUGCCCUACCCUGAAAGUGGCUUGGAGCAACCUCAUCUAGUGGGAGGUGCCCCUGCUCAUGGCAGGGGGGUUGGAAUGAGAUGUCCUUGCAGGGAACAGGAUGAGCCAUCUGCAAAUAGAACUGUAUCUGGGCAAUGUGAAGGAACAUCAGUUAAAUCAGUCUGUGGAUUUGAAAUGUGCAUCACUUGCUCACACUGGAAUGAUCUCCAUCAUCAGGUAGAGGUAAUAGGCUCACUGGAUUUAGCGUGAUGCAUCUUCUUAAAUCAUCUUAUGCUUGUUCUGAUGUUGGAGUUGCUGCUGCUGACAGUAACUUAAUGCAUUCUGGUACUCCCGCUGCACCUGGGUCCAGGUGUGGACAGCUCUUCUGUCUCUUCAUUCUUGGUUGCUUUAGUUAGAGACUUAAGACUUAGUCAAUUCCCCCAACCUUGGAAUCCACAGUCAACAAAACACCACACCUCUGAGAAAACCUUGUGACCUGCUUUUUGUGACCAGACAUGGAAGCUCAAUUAUUGCCUCUAUUCUUUCUGGAUUUAUCAUUUGUUGCCCCUUUCCCAAAAUAAAACUAAGUAUUUCACCUUC
Molecule: long non-coding RNA, 1592 nt
Organism: Vidua chalybeata
Lineage: Eukaryota; Metazoa; Chordata; Aves; Passeriformes; Viduidae
Exons: 2
Source: RefSeq, a predicted model, not a curated record